Long non-coding RNA from Tribolium castaneum (red flour beetle), 1439 nucleotides. RefSeq lists it as uncharacterized. NCBI's taxonomy places the organism in Eukaryota, Metazoa, Arthropoda, Insecta, Coleoptera, Tenebrionidae. The transcript is spliced from 3 exons. The record is from RefSeq and is a predicted model, not a curated record.
CCAUUAUCGCAAUUUAAAAAUGUAUUUAAGACUUGGUUUAAAAAUUACUAAAGUACAUCGCGUCCUAACAUUUAAUCAGAGUCCAUGGCUUAAGGAAUAUAUAGAUUUAAAUACACGCUUAAGACAGCAGUCACAAAACGAAUUUGAAAAAGAUUUUUUUAAACUAAUGAUCAAUGCUAUAUAUGAUAAGUGCAUGGAAAAUGUACGUAAACAUAAAGACAUUAGAAUUGUAACUAGGUGGGAUGGUAGGUACGGUAUGCGCGAUUUAAUUUCAAAACCCAAUUUUCAUAGUUCUGUUAUAUUUGAAGAAGACAUGUCGAUAGUUGAAAUGAAUAAAUUAAAUGUGGUACUAAAUAAACCAAUUUAUGUAGGUUUUUGUAUUUUAGAUAUUUCAAAAAUAUUUAUUUACGAAUUUCAUUAUGACUAUAUUAAAAAUAAGUUUGGUAAUAAUGCAAAAUUGUUGUACACAGACACCGAUAGUUUAAUAUAUCAUUUUAAGACGGAAGAUAUUUAUAAAAAUAUUAAGGAAGAUAUUCAUCGCUUUGAUACUUCCGAUUAUAAACUUGAUAAUAAAUUUAAUAUCGAAUUAAAAAAUAAGAAAUGUCCAGGGCUCAUGAAAGAUAAAAAUCAUGGCAAAAUUAUGCUUGAAUUUGUUGGGCUUCGAUCUAAAAUGUAUUCCUAUACAGUUGAUUCAGACACUGAAGAUGAAGAGCAUGAUUAUGAUGAAGUAGGUCCAGCUAUAAAACGUAAAAAAUUUGUGAAAAAGUCGAAAGGGUGCACAAAAUCUUCAAUAAAACAUAUUACAUUUAAUGAUUAUAAAAAAUGUUUAUUUGAUUUAGAUAUAUUUCGUAGCACGCAAAGACUCAUUCGAUCUAAAAAACACUCUGUGUAUUCUAUAAAACAAGAAAAAGUGGUCUUAAGUCCAUAUGAUGAUAAACGCAUAUUAUUAAGAAAUACUACGGAUACAAGACCUUGGGGAUAUGCUAUUAAUCUAACGUGAAAUAUAGAGGAGCAGUAUAUGAAACAAAUUCUUAAAAAAAAAUAAUUAAUAAAUAAAUAAUGAAACGAUACAUAAAUUUACUACUUGGUAAUCCAAUGUGAAAUAAAGGAAAGUGAUCAUACGAAGAAAAAGAAGUUGUAGCAAGAUGGAACAUCAACAGUGUCAGGAAGAAGAAUCAACAGAAAACUUAUUUAUUAAAAAUCGAUGUUUUCAUAUUGAAUAUGAAGAAUAUGAAGCAUAUCGACAUGUGCAGGAGAUCAACCUUUACAAAUCAAUAAAAAAGUAUCACAAAGAACAACCUAUGUUUAAUCCAUUGGAGAAUCAAAGACAUCAGGACAUUUUGGAUUGGUUAAAGAAAAACAUUAGAAAGGGUGAGGAAAAUCCUGAAGCACAUCUUGGCUGGACUACUGGAGCAGAUUCAGCACGUUGGCCUUCCAUG